Molecule: ribosomal RNA, 468 nt
Filed under: uncultured bacterium
Lineage: Bacteria
Description: partial 16S ribosomal RNA
Rfam family: Bacterial small subunit ribosomal RNA
Source: RNAcentral
GAUGAACGCUGACAGAAUGCUUAACACAUGCAAGUCUACUUGAAUUUGGGUUUUUUAACUUAGAUUUGGGUGGCGGACGGGUGAGUAACGCGUAAAGAACUUGCCUCACAGCUAGGGACAACAUUUGGAAACGAAUGCUAAUACCUGAUAUUAUGAUUAUAAGGCAUCUUAGAAUUAUGAAAGCUAUAUGCGCUGUGAGAGAGCUUUGCGUCCCAUUAGCUAGUUGGAGAGGUAACGGCUCACCAAGGCGAUGAUGGGUAGCCGGCCUGAGAGGGUGAACGGCCACAAGGGGACUGAGACACGGCCCUUACUCCUACGGGAGGCAGCAGUGGGGAAUAUUGGACAAUGGACCAAGAGUCUGAUCCAGCAAUUCUGUGUGCACGAUGACGUUUUUCGGAAUGUAAAGUGCUUCCAGUUGGGAAGAAAAAAAUGACGGUACCAACAGAGGAAGUGACGGCUAAAUACGUG